RNAcentral lists this ribosomal RNA (254 nucleotides) under uncultured bacterium. RNAcentral describes it as "partial 16S ribosomal RNA". It matches the Rfam family "Bacterial small subunit ribosomal RNA", at positions 524 to 776 of the family's 1533-position model. The record is from RNAcentral.
UACGGGGGGGGCAAGCGUUGUUCGGAAUUACUGGGCGUAAAGGGCGCGUAGGCGGUCAUACUAAGUCAGGUGUAAAAUUUCUGGGCUUAACCCAGAAAGGUCAUUUGAUACUGGUAGACUAGAGUGUGGAAGGGGUUACUGGAAUUCCUGGUGUAGCGGUGAAAUGCGUAGAUAUCAGGAGGAACACCGGAGGCGAAGGCGGGUAACUGGGCCAACACUGACGCUGAGGCGCGAAAGCUAGGGGAGCAAACAGG